RNAcentral lists this ribosomal RNA (497 nucleotides) under uncultured bacterium. Its description in RNAcentral is "partial 16S ribosomal RNA". It matches the Rfam family "Bacterial small subunit ribosomal RNA", at positions 28 to 507 of the family's 1533-position model. The record is from RNAcentral.
GAUGAACGCUGGCGGCGUGCCUAAUACAUGCAAGUCGAGCGAACGGACGAGAAGCUUGCUUCUCUGAUGUUAGCGGCGGACGGGUGAGUAACACGUGGAUAACCUACCUAUAAGACUGGGAUAACUUCGGGAAACCGGAGCUAAUACCGGAUGAUAUUUUGAACCGCAUGGUUCAAAAGUGAAAGACGGUCUUGCUGUCACUUAUAGAUGGAUCCGCGCUGCAUUAGCUAGUUGGUAAGGUAACGGCUUACCAAGGCAACGAUGCAUAGCCGACCUGAGAGGGUGAUCGGCCACACUGGAACUGAGACACGGUCCAGACUCCUACGGGAGGCAGCAGUAGGGAAUCUUCCGCAAUGGGUGAAAGCCUGACGGAGCAACGCCGCGUGAGUGAUGAAGGUCUUCGGAUCGUAAAACUCUGUUAUUAGGGAAGAACAUAUGUGUAAGUAACUGUGCACAUCUUGACGGUACCUAAUCAGAAAGCCACGGCUAACUACAUG